GCCGGGCGUGGUGGUGCACGCCUGUCAUCCCAGUGGCUCAGGAGGCUGAGGCGGGAGGAUCACGUGUUCAAAGCCAGCCUCAGCAACUUAGCAAGGCCCUGAGCAACUCAGGGAGACCCUGUCUCUA
RNAcentral lists this small RNA (127 nucleotides) under Marmota monax (woodchuck). The record is from RNAcentral. Lineage: Eukaryota; Metazoa; Chordata; Mammalia; Rodentia; Sciuridae.